Molecule: long non-coding RNA, 494 nt
Organism: Ananas comosus (pineapple)
Lineage: Eukaryota; Viridiplantae; Streptophyta; Magnoliopsida; Poales; Bromeliaceae
Exons: 2
Source: RefSeq, a predicted model, not a curated record
CUACGUACUCGAUACAUUCGUACGCAAAUACAUACAAUCCAUACUUGAUCUUAGCCCGACGAACACGCACUACAAUCAAUCGAUGGCGUGCGUUACUCGAGCAUGGAUUUUACUCGCGCUCUUGGCAUGCGUGGUGAUGGCGACCGGAACCAAUGCUGCCCCUACUCUGAACUACCGUGUAAUCGCCAGGGAUCAACCUCCGUGCAGGCCGUGGCUCGAGAAUUGCCGCCCGCUGCCCGUCGAGCCCCAUAGCAGGGGCUGCGAGAACGGGGCGCGGUGCCGUAACAACAAUCUCGGAGAAUCGGGCGCAUGAGUUAUGAAUGCAGCAGAUACAUCCUGCAGUUCGAUUUCGAUCGGUGGAGGCGCGCGCCGAUUGAUUGAUAUGAAAUUAUGGUUAUGUCCUUUGAAAAUUGUAUACUGUUACAUUUGUACUUUUGUAUGUACUUAAGCUCCGUUUGAUUCCGAGAUAACAAAGAUUGGCAUAAAUUUUUUUA